GUAGGUGGCAAGCGUUGUCCGGAAUUAUUGGGCGUAAAGCGCGCGCAGGCGGUCCUUUAAGUCUGAUGUGAAAGCCCACGGCUCAACCGUGGAGGGUCAUUGGAAACUGGGGGACUUGAGUACAGAAGAGGAAAGCGGAAUUCCACGUGUAGCGGUGAAAUGCGUAGAGAUGUGGAGGAACACCAGUGGCGAAGGCGGCUUUCUGGUCUGUAACUGACGCUGAGGCGCGAAAGCGUGGGGAGCAAACAGGGAUUAGAUACCCUGGUAGUCCACGCCGUAAACGAUGAGUGCUAAGUGUUAGGGGGGUUUCCGCCCCCUUAGUGCUGCAGCUAACGCAUUAAGCACUCCGCCUGGGGAUACGGCCGCAAGGCUG
This 373-nucleotide ribosomal RNA is filed under the name uncultured organism. RNAcentral describes it as "partial 16S ribosomal RNA". It matches the Rfam family "Bacterial small subunit ribosomal RNA", at positions 527 to 896 of the family's 1533-position model. The record is from RNAcentral.